This 75-nucleotide transfer RNA is filed under the name Chloroflexota bacterium. RNAcentral describes it as "Chloroflexi bacterium tRNA-Gly". It matches the Rfam family "tRNA". Rfam says of the family: Transfer RNA (tRNA) molecules are approximately 80 nucleotides in length. Lineage: Bacteria; Bacillati; Chloroflexota. The record is from RNAcentral.
GCGGGUAUAGUUCAGUGGCAGAACGUGUGCUUCCCAAGCACAAUGUCGCCGGUUCAAGUCCGGCUACCCGCUCCA